CCUCUUCCUGUGCGUCGCCCGCCGCUGCCGCUGCCGCCGCCGUCUUCCCGUACGGCUGCAGGACCACAUCUCGUCGCCGGCCAUGGCCUCCCGAGUGGCCGUCACGCCUCCCGUGCAGCCGCCACCGUCGCGGCUCCCACGCACCGCCGAGCAAGUCACCAUCUCCACGCGCCGCCACGCAGCCGGCCGCGGAGCGCGUGCGCCGCUGGGCACGCCGCCAUCUCCACACACCAUCUCCAUCGGAGUUGGAGAAAAGGUAAUUUAUUUUUUAAAAUGUUGAUGCUGGUUCAAAAAAUGUUGGAUUCAGAUCGUCCAAAUGUUAAAAUAGGAGGUGAAAAAUGUUAAAUGUAGUAUUUUCUAUAUAAAAUAUUGCUCUCUAUUUUAGAAAAUGUUGAAUCGGUAUUUUUAGAUAUUGGUUCAACUUUUAGAAAAUAUUAAAUGUGAUUUGUUAGAAUGUUAAAUCUUGUUCUUUGAAAUGUUGAUUUGGACUUUUAAUUGGGUCCGCCUUGAGCCGCCGAGCCGAGCGAGCGAGCAAGCAGCUGCUGUGCACACAGCGCUUGUGCGUGCGUGUGCGCGACUCGCUGCUGGUGGUGGUUGAGUUGGGAGGAAGGACAAGAACAAAGAAAAACACGAGAACCAAGCUCCCAACUUCAAACCCAAAAUACUCCCUUAAAAUUCCGUGGAUUCAAACGGAACUUGAGCCAUAAAAGCAUCUGGAAUAGAUCAAGAAAAAGAUCACGAAAAUCUCAAAUAUUCAUUGCGGAUUUUGGAGAAAACCGAACACCCUGAAAAAAAAGGAUGGUUUAGGAAAAAUUUCAAAUUCAAGCUGAAUUCACGAUGGAUUUGAAGGGGGUCACAAUAAAGUUGCUCAUAAGAACCCUAGCAACAAAAGUUCCCAACAAAUCUCACGAAAAUCCAAACGCGAAGAACAAAAAAUCCCCCAAAAAUCUCAAAAAAUCCCGAAAAAGAUAAACUUCAGAUCUUGUGAAGAUGGAACAAGUUGGCACGUGACCUUUAAAUUACUCCACCAUGUCCGGUUACAAGUCACUCCUAGCCAAACACAAAGCUAUGAUGGCAAAAAACUCAAGAACAUGAUCCUCUCAUCACUCUCCCUCUCUCACUUACCAAAGGCUCUCACCUACACAAAUGAGAAGCUCACCCAAAAAGGUGGCUGCUCCAACAGCCACUCCUCAUAUAUCUGCGCAUUUGGCAAAUAUCCAAAAUACCCUUACAUGAAGCAUUCAACCCAAAUACCCUGUAGGGGUAAAACCAUCCAACUUUUUCUUGGUACAUCGAAUGGACUCAGCACCUUCAUGACUUCGCUUCACCUCCACGCGAGUUUCAUGAUUGUGCCACGUGUCCUCCAACUUGAUGCCGUACGACCACACCGGACUCACCCUGGUGCACCUUUGCCCGCAGCGCCGUCGCCCACCGCGGCACCGGCCACCGCUCCUACCCUUAGAUUUGACGUGAUAGCUUGGAAAUGGAGGAGUUGGGCUUGGGCCUCUUGUGCUGAGGAAAUGAGUGUGGGGAUGAGGAUAAGGUUACGGAUAGUUAAGACCUUUUCCGCUCCUCUGAAUAUUUGUUUUCAUUUUUUUUGGUUUAAUGCUGCUCCAACUAACAGAAUGAAAAGUAGGGGUAAACGGUAACUUCAACUCCAAAAAGUGGGGGUGAAUCUACAAAGUUAAAAAAGAGAGGGUAAAAUCACAAUUAACCUUUGGAGUAGGAGCAAGAACACCAAAAUCCCAAAACCAUAUAUGUUGCAAGGGCCAUUUACAUGCCACAUCCACAUGUAAAGUGGCUGGUUGUUUUUUCCCUGCAGAACGAGUUGGUCUUGCAUACUGGCUCGUCACUACAGCACAACUACGCGAAAUGGAUCGGCGACGAGCUCAGUGAGGCGGUCUUUGUGACUCAACCAAACAAUGCCUUAGGCGAGGCGUCAACGUCGUUGACGAGAAAUUUGGAUUAUAUUCUUUUGUCACUCUUUUAUAAAGACUGAGCUUUCGCAUAUUUGGUGAAUAUUUGGUGAGAAAUGACAGAUAAUUAUUGUUUGCGGGAUUAAUAAUAAUAUUAAUUAAUAAAAACGCAGUGUACUGCCAAAGUGCCAAGUUGAUGUUGAUGCUCAACCAAGGGAUGACAAGGACAAAUAGAUGUCACACAUCGUACGUAUCCAUGGUGCUGCCUAGCUUCUGAUUCGUUGCUUGCUCAUCUGCACACUCUUCGCCCUUCCAUGGUGGGUAGGUAAUGUAUAGUGACAUCGUCAUCACUAACGCGGUGUGGGCCCAUGGAGCUAGACGACGGCCGGGAAGGGGUUGAGGCGAGGCGUGGGGCGGAGCAGGAGCGGGUGCUUGCGAGCGCACACCAGGCCGUCCGACUCAUCCAUGUCUAUCGGCAUGCCCUUGACCCCGUCGUCGUCGCCGCCGCCAGCGGUGGCCCAGUCGAAGCACUGCACGAGCGCCGCCAGCACGGCCGGCACGGACUGCAGCGCGAGGCCCAUGCCGGGGCAUCCGCGGCGGCCGCUGCCGAAGGGCAUGAAGUGGAAGUGCUGCCCGCGGGGCUCCAGGCUCUCGGCGGCGCCGCCAGGCAUGAACCGCUCCGGGCGGAACGCCAGGGGCUCCUCCCAGAAUGCCGGGUCGCGGCCGAUGGCCCAGAUGUUGAUGAACACGGCGGUCUGCGGCGGCACGGUGAACCCUCGGAGCUGCAUCUCCUCCGACGACUGGCGGUGCGCGAUGGGCGCCGCCGGGUGCAGCCGCAGCGUCUCCUUGUACGCCGCAAUCAGGUAUGGCAGCCGCGGCAGGUCCGCCUCGCCGGCGAUCCGGUCCCCGCCGACGACGGCGUCGAUCUCCGCCACCACGUUGCGCAGGGCCUCCGGGUGGUUCAUCAAUUCCGCCAGCAUCCACUCCACCAUGGCCGCCGACGUGUCCGAACCAGCAGUGACCACGUCGAUGAUGAAGGCCUUGAUGUUGUCCCGUGUGAGCUUGACCUCCGCCGUCUUGUCCUCGGCUUUGUCCAUGAGGAUGUCAAGCAGGUCCUUGUGCAUCGUCGCCGUCGCGGCCUCCUUCUUCCUGCCGUCGUCGCCGUCGUCGUCGAGCAUGAGGAGUUUCCUCGCCUCCCUGGCGUCCUCCUUGUGCCUGAGUAUCUCCUCGAGCAGCGCGUCGAAGCGGCGGUGGACGGCGGCGGCUCGCCGGCGGAGGCCCUGCAGGUCCCAGCCGCGGCAGAGGGCGAUGUAGUCGUCGGCGUUGAAGGCGCCGACGAGCUCCGCCACGUCCUUGACGAGCUCCUGCGCCUCGUCCGCGACGCUCCCCGGCACGGUGCUGGCGACCAUGCGGAUGAUGGAGGUGUUGGAGAGGCGGAUGAGCUCGCGGGUGAGGUCGAAGGGUUCGGCCGCCGGCGAGGAGGCCGCCGCCAGCGCGGCCCGCAGCAGGGACACGGUGCCGGCGCGACGGACGGGGCGGAGGUGCUCGACGGUGCGGGGUCCGAGGAGCUCCGACAUGCAGAGGCGCUUCAUGAAGCGCCAGUGGGUGUUGUAGGGGGCGAAGGCGAAGCCGGCGGAGCCGUAGGCGAACUGCCGGGCCACCGCCGUGAGCGGCCGCUCCGAGAUGCUCCCCUCGUGGCUGCGGAUCAGCUCGCUCGCCACCUCCGCGGUGCUCGCCACGACGCAGUGCGUGGACCCCAGGCGGAUGUGCAUCAGGGGCCCCACCCGGGCAGCCAGCUCCUGGAAGGUGCGGUGCACCGGCGGCCGGAGCAGGUGGAGGUGCCCGAUCACUGGGAGGCUAGUCGGGCCAGGGGGAAGACGACGGGAGGCUCGCCGGGAGAUGAGGUGCUGCAAGGACACGGCGGCGACGGCCGCAAUAAUGAGCGCCAGGACUACGGCGCCCAUUGGAUGCUCUUCCAUGCUCACCACCAGCAUGAUUUGUCCGUCCUUUGUGCUUUCAGCUGCUCACCAAGGAACUCAACUGCGCGUGAUCUGAUGGAGGUGCCUUAUUAUAGGACUACUGAGAGAGAGUUGUGGACCUGUAGUGCUCGAAACUAUUGUUGUAUAUUACUGUAUUGAUGAAGGUUGACAAAUAUCACCUGAAUUUUUUAGAAUUUCAGGAUGGGAUGAGAAAGAAUAAUUAAAUAAUAAUUUUCUUAUAAUUUUAAAAUUUUACAACAUUUAUUUUCUUGACAGAACACCGUCUGUGAUGCAAACCCAGGAGCCGAAGAUGAA
RNAcentral lists this long non-coding RNA (4210 nucleotides) under Setaria italica (foxtail millet). RNAcentral's name for it is "long non-coding RNA (SITA_LNC004884)". Lineage: Eukaryota; Viridiplantae; Streptophyta; Magnoliopsida; Poales; Poaceae. The record is from RNAcentral.